RNAcentral lists this transfer RNA (72 nucleotides) under Bos taurus (domestic cattle). It matches the Rfam family "tRNA". From Rfam's summary of the family: Transfer RNA (tRNA) molecules are approximately 80 nucleotides in length. Their secondary structure includes four short double-helical elements and three loops (D, anti-codon, and T loops). Lineage: Eukaryota; Metazoa; Chordata; Mammalia; Artiodactyla; Bovidae. RNAcentral also lists the same sequence under 3 other names. The record is from Rfam by way of RNAcentral.
UCCGUGGUGGCUCAGGCAGUAAAGAAUCUGCCUGAAAAGCAGGAGACCCAGGUUUGAGCCCUGGUUCAGGAA